UACAGAUUCAAUUAAUGGCCAUUUUUUUUUUCAAACGAAUAAUCCUUAUGUAGAAAAAUAAAUAGGAAGUAGGAAUAGGAAGUACGAUUUCAACUUCUCUGAUGGAUGAUGUUAAAGUGUACCAUUGUCGUACGCCAGUACCAGUCCUGACAUUCACGGAGCCUUGGCAGGACUACAUACUCGGCGGAACUCAGGAGAAAUAAGUUCUCGAAUUACCAUUCCUCUGACGAGAAGGCAAGAUUUUCUACCAGGACAUCGCAGACUCUUUAAUAGAUCUUUAUAAUAAGGCUUGGAAUGACAUGAUGAAUGAUGAUGAAUGAAUUAAUGAAAUGAUGAAUUAAUUGAAAUAUUGUUGCAUAUAUAUAAUAUAACAGAGCAUUCAAAACUAAACAUAAGACAG
Molecule: long non-coding RNA, 400 nt
Organism: Argiope bruennichi
Lineage: Eukaryota; Metazoa; Arthropoda; Arachnida; Araneae; Araneidae
Exons: 3
Source: RefSeq, a predicted model, not a curated record